UUCAAGUGGGAAUAAUUUUUGUACUAUACCCUUGCCGAAAGAUUUGGUUCCGACAAUCUUAGCCCUGCCCCUAUCCUUAAAGGCUCCAGCUAAAAUUUCAGAAGCAGAUGCUGAAUUUUCAUUAAUAAGGACUGUCAUUGGUAUAUCAUCCUUAUUGGAAUCAGAUUUUUCUGUAAUUACAUUGCCGUUUUUAUCUUCAGUAGUAACUAUGACUCCUUCAUCAAGGAAAGUAUCGGCAAUGUCAAGGCACACAUCAAGGGCUCCUCCUGGAUUGUUACGCA
Molecule: non-coding RNA, 281 nt
Filed under: Anaerococcus lactolyticus
Lineage: Bacteria; Bacillati; Bacillota; Tissierellia; Tissierellales; Peptoniphilaceae
Source: RNAcentral